AGCUUUUUGGGAUUUUAUUUAAAAGUAUUUUCUGCUCGGUGUUUAUUAACAGCCGCGGUAAUUUGACCGUGCAAAGGUAGCAUAAUCAUUUGCCCCAUAAUUGGGGGCUAGCAUGAAUGGAUGAACGAGGGCUUAACUGUCUCCUUCUUGGUUUUUGAAUUUGUAGUUAGUGUGAAGAUACAUUAAUUUUUAAAAAAGACAAGAAGACCCUUUUGAGCUUUACUUUUUUUUUUUUCUUUAUGUUUCUUAAUUAGUUUGGUUGGGGCGACCAAGGAAGAUAAUUUUUAUUUAUUUUAUGUUUGUUUUAAUAAGGAUCUUCCUUUGUUUUUUUUUGAACCAUGCUUUUUGGUUUAUAGAUUAAGUUACCAAAGGGAUAACAGCGUAAUUUUUUUUAAAAGUUCUUAUUAAAAAAAAAGAUUGCGACCUCGAUGUUGACUUAUAAUUUCCUUUUGGUGCAGUAGCUAAAAAGGUGGGUCUGUUCGACCUUUAAUAUUUU
This 496-nucleotide ribosomal RNA is filed under the name Diplomma bothwellae. RNAcentral's name for it is "partial large subunit ribosomal RNA". It matches the Rfam family "Bacterial large subunit ribosomal RNA", at positions 1817 to 2597 of the family's 2925-position model. Lineage: Eukaryota; Metazoa; Nemertea; Enopla; Monostilifera; Poseidonemertidae. The record is from RNAcentral.